UGGCUCGUAGCAUAAAUAGUAAUGCUAUGGCUUUUAAUCGACAGAGUGCAGGUGCAAGUCCUGUGGAGCCAA
Molecule: transfer RNA, 72 nt
Filed under: Badhamia polycephala
Lineage: Eukaryota; Evosea; Eumycetozoa; Physariida; Physaraceae
Description: Physarum polycephalum tRNA-Lys
Rfam family: tRNA
About the family: Transfer RNA (tRNA) molecules are approximately 80 nucleotides in length. Their secondary structure includes four short double-helical elements and three loops (D, anti-codon, and T loops).
Source: RNAcentral